GUGCUCACUUCAGCAGCACAUAUACUAAAAUUAGAAUGAUACCGAGAAGACUAGCAUGGCCCCUGUGCAAGGAUGGCAUGCAGUUUGUGAAGUGUUCCAUAUUUUA
RNAcentral lists this small nuclear RNA (106 nucleotides) under Myotis davidii. The record is from RNAcentral. Lineage: Eukaryota; Metazoa; Chordata; Mammalia; Chiroptera; Vespertilionidae.